Molecule: ribosomal RNA, 253 nt
Filed under: uncultured bacterium
Lineage: Bacteria
Description: partial 16S ribosomal RNA
Rfam family: Bacterial small subunit ribosomal RNA
Source: RNAcentral
GACAGAGGAUGCAAGCGUUAUCCGGAAUGAUUGGGCGUAAAGCGUCUGUAGGUGGCUUUUUAAGUCCGCCGUCAAAUCCCAGGGCUCAACCCUGGACAGGCGGUGGAAACUACCAAGCUGGAGUACGGUAGGGGCAGAGGGAAUUUCCGGUGGAGCGGUGAAAUGCGUAGAGAUCGGAAAGAACACCGAUGGCGAAGGCACUUUACUGGGCUAUUACUAACACUCAGAGACGAAAGCUAGGGUAGCAAAUGGG